This 1411-nucleotide long non-coding RNA is filed under the name Monodelphis domestica (gray short-tailed opossum). Its description in RNAcentral is "lncRNA (ENSMODG00000035933.2)". Lineage: Eukaryota; Metazoa; Chordata; Mammalia; Didelphimorphia; Didelphidae. The record is from RNAcentral.
AGUGAUUGCAUCAGUUGGCCACGCUCAUUAUAUCUAGACCUGGCUUCUGUAACACUUCACUGCACUCCCCAGCCACCCACCCACACCCAUUUCCAGUUCUGGAUCCAGGAGCAAAUUCUUGCUGUCACUGUUCCUAGAAGUGAGGUGCCAAUCUUCGUCCAGAUGGCCAUAACCCCUCUCCUUGGAACUUUCCAAACCAGAAACUUGGCGUCCAUUUCCUUCCAUGCUUCCUCUCCCUCUUCCCAAAGGUUGUUGGGGUUACGUAAGGCCCUGAGAGAAGCCUGCUGCCUCACAUUGACUGAGGAGUGUGAUCAUGUUGGUAGCCUGAGCCCAUCUGUAGACACCAGCAACGAAAUCUUGGGCACUGCAAAGUCUAGGUACCCUUGUUUUUUCUCCAUCACUCAAGAGGGCAAACGUGGCACCAUGAAGCCCAACCCCUGGGGGAGGAUGUCGCCUGACUCACAUUUAGCGAUCCUCGUCUACUGCUUAUUCCAGAUACUCUGGACGAAACUCUACAUCUUGCUACUCUGCCUAUCCCUUACCGUGACUUACCUGGCCUCCCAGUUCCUCACUGUGAUGGUGGGCUUUUUCUACGUUCUGUGGCAUAAAAGACUCCAGGCAGGCAGGGAGCUAAUCUACAUUCUGUCCCAGAAGCUUCCAGUAGAACAGUUGGUCCCCACGUACCAGACUGUAUGGGAGACCCUGUGUGUUGGAAGAACCUGGUCCCUCGGGAUUCUUUGCUCUCUGCUCAGCUCAGCCCAGAGAAGUACCCUGCGACUGCUCAGAACCCUGAGAUGUGAGCUGGACAUGGCUGUAUCCAACGCAAUCCAGUGGUCCUACUGUAGCCUUACCGUUGCCUACCAGAUGGCUUACAAGGUUAUCAUGAGGACAAUUGUCUACCAAUUGGUCUCCUCCCUGCUGGCAGGCUGUCUUGACAGGCUCUGGACUGUCAUAUGUGAGGGACACGAGACUGUAAUAGUUCUCCAAGAGCUUCUCGCGGACUGUAUUGAACAAGACAACCCCAGUACCACCAUGGUUCCUGAAGAAGCCUCCAAUUAUAUUUACCUUGGCAUCCGUACUAAUCCAAGUCAGCAAAUCCCAAGGUGCCAUCCAUCCACCCUGAGUGGGUGCCCCCAGACCACCUGCUUCCCUGCUUCGUACAUCAACACAAGGGACAGUGGCUGUGACUUGGAAGCCGCAGGGGAGCGCCUGAACACCAGGUUCCAAGAUAGCAUGAAGGAGAAGGAAAUUCCACCAACCUCACGGCAUGAAUUCGACCAGGAAAUGAAAAGGCUCUGUAAUGCCAUCAUCUUAAUCUAUCUAUACACCGUAUGCCUCCUCAUGCAAAUCAUGCAAUAAAAGGAACUGAUGGUGUCAUGGCUAUUGAGAGUCUCUGUCAUUUUCUUUAUUG